GCUGCUAUUUUAAAGUGGGGAAAGUGAAGCUCAGAGGCUAAUACCCCAGUGGAGGAGCUGACCAUUUGCUUCCAGAAGGGGUAGGCCCCCGGGGCAGUGUUCUACCGGCAGAGCUCAGCUCCUUUGCUUUCCUGUCUGCCCCCUCUCUGACAGCGGUGGGCUAACAGGCCAGAGACGGGGAAACGGAGAGGUCGAGGGGAGAAGGUGGCAGAGUGGGAGCAGGGAAGUAAACCUGGCACCCCCUGGAUGUGGAGAAGGGCUGGGCUGGAGGGAGAGCCAGGGCUGGCACUAGGAAGAAUAGCCAAGCAGGUGAAAUGCGGCUUUGUUCUCCCUCUCUGCAGUUCCAGAAGGCCCUCCCUCCGCCCCCAGGAUCCAGCCAUUAACUCAACAACUAUUUAUUAAGCGCCUCCUAACUACAGGGUACCGUAAUGGGCACUAGGGAUACGGUAGUGAACAAACGCAAAUCCCCCCCUCAAGGAGCCUACGUUCUAGGGGUUUCUCUCCAGUGGCGUCAAGCCGUCUUGGGCUGCUUAGAAUUCCCUAGUAGGGUGUUCCCUUUCGGUUCCUCUUCACACGUACGCGCGCGCACAUUCACACACGCGCGUGUCCGUGCCUCGCAACCCUCGCUCGUGCUCACGUGCACACACGGCUACGCACAUGCACCGACACAUACGGGCUCACACGUGCGCGCUCGCGCAGACACGCACACAAACGCGGACGCAGUCGUGCCCUCCCCUCGCACGCCGAGGGCGCAGCGCGGAGUUGCGGGCAGUGGACGCGCGCGCGUGCGCAGCAGUCCGGCCGCCCCGGAGGGUCUCCUAAACCGUGCGGGCGUCGCCGCCGCCGCGCGCUCUCCGGCGCGGGAGGAAGGAGGCCGGCGCGGAGCCCUGGGAACCCGAGUCCCGGCGGUCCCCUCCGGCCGCACAGCCGGGCUCCGCGCUGCGGGCAGACGGGCAGCGUCCCCGGACACCGCGGCCACGCUCCCUUCUCAGCGAUUCCGUCUGGGCGGCCGGAUGGGAGGAGAGGGCAGAUGCAGAAACUGAGGCACUGAGAAUGCCAGCAGUGGUUGGUGGUGGGAAUGUCCCCAAGGCAGAGGUGAAUCUAGAUUCUUUCAUGAGAGCUCCAUUGAAAGAAAGAAGAUGCACUGAGUAAGGAAAGCAACAUUGAACACCUGCUCUGCCAGGUAAGACUGCUAGGAGCUCUGUGGGCACGUUCUCACCGAAUCUUCAGUUACCUGUAAGGUUAUUGUGUUUGUGUUGUGGCCUUCCUCCACAUUUGAAGAACCUUGGCUUCCCAAGGUCAGCUGGCUAGCGUGUGAGCCAGGUCUGUGGACUCACAUGCCUGUGUUUCCAGCACCGUGCUG
This 1363-nucleotide long non-coding RNA is filed under the name Delphinapterus leucas (beluga whale). Its description in RNAcentral is "lncRNA (ENSDLEG00000019432.1)". Lineage: Eukaryota; Metazoa; Chordata; Mammalia; Artiodactyla; Monodontidae. The record is from RNAcentral.